CCCCUAGAUGUCCUGGGCCGCACGCGCAAUACAAUGUAAAGUUCAGAAAGCAUAUCCUGUUCCGGAAGGCAAUGGGUAAUCUUUUCAAUAUUUUACGUGUUAGGGAUCGAUCUUUGCAAUUAUAGAUCUUGAACGAGGAAUACCUAGUAGGUGCAGCUCAUCAGGCUGUACUGAUUACGUCCCUGCCCUUUGUACACACCGCCCGUCGCUCCUACCGAUUUCGAGUGGUCCGGUGAAUCUUUUGGAAUUAGAGUGCAAACUCAAACUAAGAUCGAUAAACCUUAUCACUUAGAGGAAGGAGAAGUCGUAACA
Molecule: ribosomal RNA, 312 nt
Filed under: uncultured eukaryote
Lineage: Eukaryota
Description: partial 18S ribosomal RNA
Rfam family: Eukaryotic small subunit ribosomal RNA
Source: RNAcentral